CCCUUAGAUGUUCUGGGCCGCACGCGUGCUACACUGAGCGGGCCAACGGGUGAGGAUGUGCGAAAGCGCUUCCCAAUCUCUAAAUCCGCUCGUGCUGGGGAUCGAGGCUUGCAAUUAUCCCUCUUGAACGAGGAAUACCUUGUAAGCACGGGUCAACAUCCCGUGCUGAAUACGUCCCUGCCCUUUGUACACACCGCCCGUCGCACCUACUGAUUGAAUGACUCGGUGAAAAAUCGGGACUGCGAGAACAAUCGAUUAAUUUCGAAUGUACUUGUGGGAACUUUUUUUAACCUCGCCAUUUAGAAGAAGGUGAAGUCGUAACA
This 323-nucleotide ribosomal RNA is filed under the name uncultured eukaryote. RNAcentral describes it as "partial 18S ribosomal RNA". It matches the Rfam family "Eukaryotic small subunit ribosomal RNA", at positions 1470 to 1796 of the family's 1831-position model. The record is from RNAcentral.